CUGAUCCGAAAUGUCCUAAAGAUCAAGAAAAAUUGUGCAGAAAUGAGAUUUUCCCGGAUACUUUUACAAAGCGUGAGUUGAAAAAGAUUCGUUUACAUUGUCCCUACGAACAGUGCAAAUGGUUUGGCAGCUAUCAGGAAUUGGAAAGUCAUUCUCAAGUUUGUGAGCAUGCGCUCAUCAACUG
Xenia sp. Carnegie-2017 is the source of this 184-nucleotide long non-coding RNA. RefSeq lists it as uncharacterized. NCBI's taxonomy places the organism in Eukaryota, Metazoa, Cnidaria, Anthozoa, Malacalcyonacea, Xeniidae. The record is from RefSeq and is a predicted model, not a curated record. The transcript is spliced from 3 exons.